Molecule: ribosomal RNA, 106 nt
Filed under: Bacillus safensis
Lineage: Bacteria; Bacillati; Bacillota; Bacilli; Caryophanales; Bacillaceae
Source: RNAcentral
AUAGCGAAGAGGUCACACCCGUUCCCAUGCCGAACACGGAAGUUAAGCUCUUCAGCGCCGAUGGUAGUUGGGGGUUUCCCCCUGUGAGAGUAGGACGCCGCCAAGC